RNAcentral lists this long non-coding RNA (298 nucleotides) under Homo sapiens (human). Its description in RNAcentral is "HSALNT0084260". The record is from RNAcentral. Lineage: Eukaryota; Metazoa; Chordata; Mammalia; Primates; Hominidae.
AAUUGAUAUAGAAAAAGAAAGUAAGAAGAGAUACUGGAGGGAAGGGAGAGGAAAAAAGGCAAACGUGGAACAAUGAAUUACAGAACAGGAAGAAGAAGAGAAAAGAAAGGCAAGAAAGGAGGCACCCUGCUGGCCAGUAAAGGACAAUAAUUUUGACUUCUGGAUGUAAACCAGGAAGUUGCAUGUUUAACAAGCAUCUCUAGAGACACUGAUACAAUUGAUCAGCUCUUUGCAUUUUGAGGAGGUGGGGAACAUGCUAACAACAUCUGCAAUGUGGAUUAUUAAAAGAAGAUUUUCC